This is a long non-coding RNA of Sphaerodactylus townsendi, 791 nucleotides long. RefSeq lists it as uncharacterized. The record is from RefSeq and is a predicted model, not a curated record. NCBI's taxonomy places the organism in Eukaryota, Metazoa, Chordata, Lepidosauria, Squamata, Sphaerodactylidae. The transcript is spliced from 3 exons.
CCAAUGGCCGCUCUGACGAGCCUUAAAAUCCAAAUAGCUGUAAAGGACCUUCUUCCUCAAGGGAAGGCUUAUUGACAUCAAGUGGCAGCUGUGGGGCUGGAACAACUAACAAAGGCUCCAGGGCUCUCCAAAGGCUUUUUUGACAAAACUGUCACAGGAUACUUUUUUUCACAUGGAGACAGCCAUGACCACUUUUGGUGCAAGGAGCUGAAACAGGAUAGGUUGCACUCAGAGAGAAUGACUGGCCCAAGAUCACCUGGUAAGCUGUACAGCAAGAGUGGGAAUUUGCACUUGGAGCUCCUCAAUCUCUGUACAAUCUAGUCACUAGGCCACACAAAAAGAUCCCACAGUACAUCAAAAACAAAAGUCAAAUAUUCCAGCAAGAAUGCCCUGAUGCACAGAUCUACCUACAUGUGAAAAAUAAAACUGCAUCAUGGUGCCAUCUGUGAGUGGACCUACUGAAACGACUCAAAUGUUUUGCUUUGCUACAUGCUAAUGCCAUCUGUUGGGAAAAAGAUGGAACUAACAAACAGCUCAACAUCUUGAUUGGCUGGAACCUUCUGAUUCAACAGUUUAAUUGGAUGGAAUUUUCUACAAAACUUUCAUGUAUUCUUCAAAGUCACACUAGGUAUCUAUCAGUGAGCACUGCAGCUUCAAAAAUAGUAAGCUUAGACUCCGAUUACGACAAACAGUGCAUUCUACAAUAAUAUACACUUUCUGAGCAGUAACUUCUAUUAAACUCAAGAAGACUUUCUUAAAAAUAAAUAUGCAAACACUCAUGCUACAGCUGU